UAACCUUGUAUUCCUAUUAGUGUAAUCACCUGACUGGUAUAAUUUGUUUUCACAAAUGUCAAGAAACUAUAAUUGCCUUCUUGGACCUUGGAUUAGUUCAGAAAAUUUUGCCUUGUAUGAGUUCAUUUCUGCCCAGUGUGCAUCAUGCAUGGCUUUUAGAGUUGUACAUUUGAGCUGCUUUAUCAAAGAUAGGUAAGGAGAAUCGAAGAACUACAGGCCAGUCUCACCUUGAUUCCUUGGAAGGUGAUACAGCAAAUAACCCUAGAAGCAAUUUCCAAAAUAAGGACAAGAAGAUUGCAGUCAACAUGGAUCUAAGAAAGAGAAGACAUAUCCAGCCAAUGUGAUCACCUUCUGUGAUCAAAUGACCAACUUGUUGGAUAAGGGGCAAGAGCUAGAUAUGGUAUCUUGAUUUUAGCAAGAUAUGUCUCUCAUAGCAUCUUUACAGGCAAACUAGAUGAGUGGACAUCUAGAUGGAUUGAAAGCUGGCUGAAAUGGGUAGGUGGGUUGAAACUGUCUCAAAGGACUGCAAUCAAUGGUACAAAGUCCUGUUGGAAACAAGAUACCAGUGGUAUACCUCAGGUAUCAAUAUGGAGCCAACACUGUUUAAAAUUCCUGCUAAUGACCUGUAUGAUGGAGCGCAUCCUCAGCAAAUUUGCACAGGAUACAAAUGUGGGAGGAGUGGUUGAUGCAGCAGAGUAGUGCUACCAUUCAAAGGGAAAUCAGCAGGCUGGAGAAGUGGGCUGACAGAAGCAUCAUGAAGCUCAACAAAGGAAAAUACAAAGUCCUAAGGCUGAAGAGAAACAACUCCAUACACCAGUACAUACUGGGGACCAGCUAGAAAACAACAUGGCAGAGGACCUCUGGAUCCUUGUGUGCAACAAGUUGAACAUGAGCCAGUUACAUGUAUUUGUAGUAAAAAAAGGCUAAAGAUAUCUUUGGCUGCAGUGGGAGAAGUGUUGCCAGCAGGUGGAAGGAUGUGAUCCUUUCAUUCUACUCAGUGUUUGAGAGGUCAUACCUGGAGUACUGGUUCCAAGUUUGGACUCUAGUAAAAGAGAGAUGUGGGCACAUUGGAUUAUUUCCAGUGAAGGACCAUUAAGAUAAUUAAGCAUUUGGAGCAUCUUUCAUACGAAGAGAGGCUGAGAAAGCUGGAACAGUUCAACCUGGAAAAAAAAAAAAAAGGCUUAAGGAGAGAGUCAUGAGCAUGUACACAAUGCAUAUAAAUACUUGAUGGGGAGAA
RNAcentral lists this long non-coding RNA (1237 nucleotides) under Gallus gallus (chicken). RNAcentral describes it as "lncRNA (ENSGALG00010004643.1)". Lineage: Eukaryota; Metazoa; Chordata; Aves; Galliformes; Phasianidae. The record is from RNAcentral.